AAAUAAGCUUUUGUUUAGUUAUUUUUUAGGGUAAAUUAUAAGAAAUUUUUAUGUAAAUAUUUUUUUUUAUUUUUUUAUUUUUAAAAUUUUAUAUUUUGUCUUUUUAAAAUUUUAAAAAUAUUUUCGAUGGAGAGAUAUGGCAUUAAUAGAGAGGACAAAAUAACCAAAACAUCCUUACUUCUUUUGUAAGAAAAAAAAAACUUUUUAAUAUAUUUCUGUCAUUUUGAAAGAUAUUCUUGGUACAGAUUAUAAGAAAUGGACGAAAUAGUACUGAAAUUCUGACAGAGAAGGAUCAAAAUACAAAAAUUUAAAAUGUUAAGAGAGUAAAAUAUAGAUUUUUAAAAGUUAGGGAGAAAAAGUGUUGAAAUGGAUACUUAGAAAGAAUUUUUUUUGCAAUUUAGCCUAUUUUUUAAGUUAAAGUUGUUUGUGAAAAACCACUAAUAAUAUAUUAUUUAAUAAUACUAUUCAGAUAACACAUUAUCAAACAAUACUAUACAAUAAGAGACAUGGGGCGUGUUUGCUUGAUAAUAAAUAUUCAUUUUUAUUGUUUGGUUUACUGUAACUCAGUUUUCGAUCGAAACUCAGACUCUCCAAAAUACCAUAGAUGACUUCGGACCGUCAGUUAAAAAAACCAAAAAGAAAAAUAAAAUGAGAAAACAAUAAUAAAAUAUUAAUUAUCUUUUACUUCUCUAGCUUUUAUGUGAUUUCUUUAGUUCUAAAGUUAUACAAAGAAACAACAAAAGUAAAAUAAUUUUUAUUUAAACACUAAUUCAUCAAUAAGCAGGCCUAUAAACUUCUUAAAUAAAUUUUAAAAAAAUUCUAAAGGGAAUAAUUGCCAACAUGGUAAACCAGGCCCUCACAUAUUACCAAACCCUACAAAAAAACACACACUCAUGCAUAGUUUUUUUUUUUUUUUUUUUUUUUUUUUUUUUUUUUUUUUAUAAAAAGAGUUUAAGUUAUUUAUAGAAACUUUACUUUAUAAUAUAAGUUAUAAUAUUACUACUCAAAUAAUAUUAGACUUAUAGUUAUAAUAUCACUACUCAAACAAUACAGGAGAAGAUGUGCAUUCGGUCUGGAAUAGAUGGAUAGAAAGGCGGGGUCUCAACCAAAAUUUAUUUGUCUUAUUAGACUUGUAGCCUGCUGAUGGGUUAUUUGGGAUAUUAGGAAUAGAGCGAUUUUCAGAAUAACCUACACAGACCCGACCCUCGAAAUCUACAAGAUUAAUCAGCUGACGAACCUAUGGGAGAAACUCAGUCCAGUGGAGCGACAUAACAGUAAUCAAUAGUGUUGGCCAGUGUCGGCCAGUGUGUGUUGGCCUAAUCUUUUUUUUUUCUCGCCACCUUUUGAGAUUUGUGAUGCCUCACCCAUAUUGCUUAAUUUACUAUUUGAAUAAAUGAAACAAAUAGCGUGCUAUAUUUUUCUUAAAAAAAAUAUUUUAUUGAAUAAUACUGUACUGUCUAACGCACUGGAUGAGUCUGUUCGUGGUGUCUACACAGUUCUUAGAAAGGAAAAGAAAAUUUUUAAAAAAUAAAAAAUUCAUC
RNAcentral lists this long non-coding RNA (1541 nucleotides) under Ananas comosus (pineapple). RNAcentral's name for it is "long non-coding RNA (ACOM_LNC031103)". Lineage: Eukaryota; Viridiplantae; Streptophyta; Magnoliopsida; Poales; Bromeliaceae. The record is from RNAcentral.